Molecule: long non-coding RNA, 404 nt
Organism: Schistocerca americana (American grasshopper)
Lineage: Eukaryota; Metazoa; Arthropoda; Insecta; Orthoptera; Acrididae
Exons: 2
Source: RefSeq, a predicted model, not a curated record
AGCAGACAUUAGGUGUAACGACUUCGGGGUUUCGUCUGUUUGUACUGGUGGCUGUAGUUAUCGCUGUGAAAAAUGGACAAGGCUGCACAAGAUAAUCGCACUAAUCAGUGCAACCCGACUCACGAGAAAACCGGUCCUGGUCGUGAUGCUGGUUACAAGGGAACAGGAACAAAAUCAGAUCUGGACAACCAUGCCAAUCAGUUGAAUCCGAACAAUCCUCGUUACCAAGGAGGUAAUAAAUAAGGAAGAGUGGAUGGUUUCUUCUGUAUGCCAGCACUUAACAUUAAGUGAUAAAACAUAAAAAAUUAAAAAUUUCCAGAAUUACUGUUUAAUACUUCUUAUGACACAAAGUUAUGUACUUUAAACCAACUAAAGACAACUAAAUGCCUGAAUUUUGAAAAGUC